RNAcentral lists this transfer RNA (85 nucleotides) under Felis catus (domestic cat). It matches the Rfam family "tRNA". Rfam says of the family: Transfer RNA (tRNA) molecules are approximately 80 nucleotides in length. Their secondary structure includes four short double-helical elements and three loops (D, anti-codon, and T loops). The record is from Rfam by way of RNAcentral. Lineage: Eukaryota; Metazoa; Chordata; Mammalia; Carnivora; Felidae.
ACCUGGGUGGCUCAGUCAGUUGAGCGUCUGACUUCGGCUCAGGUCAUGAUCUCACAGUUUGUGGGUUUGAGCCCCACAUCAGGCU